GCAAACCAACAAACAGCUUUAUGUUAACUUUUACAAACUGCCACAUUUUCAGGUUGAACGAUCAGACAUAAAUCUUGGUGAAACUAGAAGUAAUACAACCUGUGCUGUGGAGAUAAAAGAAAGGGCAGCAGCACUGGUGGCUGCAGAAAUUGAGGCAUGUAGAGACAAUAGAACCCCCGAGAUACCUCUGCAUAAGAAAGUCCAGAAAGAGUGGGCUUGUGCUGUAUGCCAGUUCACAACCCAAAGUGAAGUGACCUUCAAUUCCCACCUUCAAGGGAAGAGACAUCAGGCCACUUCUGAGCAGUUGAGAGCCAAAAACCAGGCAACCAAAACCAAUUGUUCCCCAUCUGCUUCAAAGGCCAAGAAAUCUGAUCAGUCCACCAAAGAGGAGCAACCAAAGUGUCCUUCCAACAAUCUGAAUUCCAAAAACAAUGGAAUCUCAGCUGCUUCAACAGUGAAGAAACCUGACGAGACCAAAGAUGAUGAGCAACAAAAGUGUGCAUCCAGCAAUGGACCAAACCAGAAGAAUAACAAAAAGCAAGAGGAGAAGGUGCUAGUUCUUGAGACCAAUGAGCAAGGCCAUCAGAAUAAUUUUGAUCCACGAUCCCACAUUUAUUUUGGGUCUCACAAGUUUCAAAUUUGCAGAAAAAUGAAAGAUGUUUGAGAGAAAAUUAAAUCAUAUUGCACUACUGUUAGGAAAAAUAUGGCUGAAUCCAAUUGCUUUUCUUCUCCAAGUCUAUUAAAAAUAUAAUUUUUUCUCCAUUCCUGACAAAAUUUAAAUUUUUUCCUUAAAAAAAAAAAAAUUAAGUUUGAUCACCUAACACAUCUUUCUAAACUCAAUCUCAACUUGAAAAAUCAAACCUUAAUGGAUGGACUAUAGAAAUAGUGAGAAAACACUUCUGGGGUUUUUUUUUUCUUCCAACAUCAAAUUUUUCUAUAUAUGGGAUUUCACAUGCAAAAGCAGGAGUAGAUUUGCUUGUGUUUGAUGUAUGUAUUAGAAAAAUUUGUCCCUUCUGGGAUGUUUAAUACUUUUCUAUUCUUUUAUAUGCAUGUUUAGCUAGAAGAUAUAGAAUCGAUACCAUUCCUUAAAAGUGAUAGCCACAACUGUGAUAAUUAAACACCAAAGAAUGUGAAGAUCUAUAUAUUCUUUUUUUUUUCCUCUCUCUUUCAAUAAUGAAGCUAAGAUGUGUUGUAAGCAUCAAAUGCAUUGUCUCUGCUUGAAUAUAUACAAAGCCAAGGACCACAAGAUGGAUAGAUAUGGGGACGCACAAAACUUCUCAAACAUGAUUAUAUUAAUCAAGAAUUCAACUAAGCUUAAAUUCAAGAUGUUGAUUUCUAGCAUCUCUGGUGCUAUAGGAUGACUAUUGAUCCUGUACUGUUAUGUGCCCUACUGAUAUAUUCUUCGGGUUGUUAUGUAUAAAUAAAAUUUUUGGGAAAGUUUGCUUGGUGGUUACACUAUCACUAUUUAGGCCAGUAAAAAUUGGAAGCCUUUGUAAAAAACUGAUGGUCCAAGAGCUAUUCUACUUCAUCAUCCAUGUAAUAUGACGAUACAAAUUUGACUAAAUGCAGCUAUAGAAGGCUUAGGACCAUAAACCAAGCCUAGUCGAUGUCACUCACCUAAAUUUAUGCAUAAAGCUUUUGGAUGGCUCAGAGUUAUAUUUAAUUACUGUUAUGUUCGCAACUAUAUUUUCAUUGGAUUUAUAGUCCAGCUUGAGAACUAGUCCUCCAUUGCACAUAAUGUCCACACAAGGCCACAGUGCCCGCUCAAAGGCCAUAGCGCUACUCAAGGAUAUAGUGCUUACUCAAGGCCAUAGAGCCCACCUAAGGCUAACGACCCAAAAGGAGAAAAAGGUUGGUUCCACGUACUCUAAUAUUUACUAGAAAAGGUUCUUCCUAUUAAAGAACAAAAAAUUGCAUUCCCUUGUGACCAAUCCAAACAGUAGACCACUGACUUGUAUAAGGCAUUAUUCACCAUGCAAGCACUUUUUCAGCAACCUACCAUCUGGCAUGAACCAUUUUGGAUUGAUUCACAAAGCAAUGGUGUUAUAUUAAGCAUAUUCAAUAUAGAACCAAAUUGUGCCUCCUUAGAUUAACUAAAAUAUUUCCAUUGCAAGAUGUGCAGAUAGGCAUAUGAUCAUGAAGUAAUUUCCUGAUGAUAAUACCCCACAAAAUAUUUCUUUUUCUCACUGAUCUCUCCUAGAUUUUCAGUUCACCCAUCCAUGGCGCCUGACUAAAAAUGGGGGCAUUUUGGAUACCCCGAGCAGUAAGUUAGCCUGGUAGGCAUCCCGUUGCAAGCAAAGUCAACCCGAGCGGUCCAUUUGACCAAAGCUUAUCCAGGCAGUAAGCGUCCAUAUACAGCUAACUGUUAUGCACCAUCAACAGGUUGAGGUUACAAGAUUAAAGAGUCAUAAUGGCCAAAUGGAAGUUACACGACUCGGCCUAUAUAAUAACAGUAUGACAAAAAAUGCAGGUAUGAAGAACUAUCACUGAAAAAAUUUAUUCCUAAAAAUCCUUUAAGCUCCUUUAAGCUAACUUGGGCAUUGGAGAGGUCUCUCCGAAGCACACUCGAGCUUACCUUUUUGUAAGACAUCGAGAACAAGAGGCAUUGAAGUGAUUGUCCGGAGGGUUGAACUUGGUCGGGAACCAACAAUACACACUAUUCAAAAAUAGGGAUCAUAUUAAAUUAUUAAUGCAACCAUAGGAAGCAAUUGAGGACAAGGGUGUUAUUUGAUUAAAAGGGUAAUUGAAAACCUAAAUUUUGAAAUUUAACCCUCCAUUCUAUUUGGCCUUAUGUGAACAAAAAUGCCUUCAUUAUUUUCUUGUAAAAAUAACUCACCCAUUUAAACCUUACAUGAAAAUACUUAAAAUGGUAAAUGAUAUGUUAAAAAUUGAUUAUUUUUCAAAUAAAACAUAAGAAGGGUCAAAUUCAUGAAAGGAUUAUUUCAUCCCUUUUAAUCAAUUAAUUCGAUUUAUUUCUUUUUAUUUUUUUUCUCUCCAUGUUAAUUUUCACAUCACCCAACAACACCACUCUUAAUUCACACAAGUUUGAAGUUUUUGAAUGAGAUAUAUUCGUAAUUAUAUUGUAAUUGUGUUAUAAUAACCAUUUCGUACUUGGAUUUGUUCUUUCAGUCCAUUUAACCUUUUUGUUUAUUCAUGUCAAAACAAUGUACUUAUAAUCGAAUCCAUUUAUGACAUGUUGAUCUUAUAUAAAUUUAUUAAUUUUAUAUAUUUAAAAAUUAUAAAAAUUAAAUAUACUUUUUCAAUUAUGAAUAUCAUAUUACUAAAAUAUUAAAUAACAAAUUAACUUGAAAUGCUAUAUAUUUCAUUAAUUAUUUUAUAAUUAAAACAUUAAAUGAAAUAAUAAACAAGUAUAAAAUAGAAAAUUCUAUCUUAGUUAGAAAUUAUAAACUGUUAUUGAGACAUAUAAGUAUUAAAAUUCUACCCAUUUCACUACCAAACAACUUAUGUUUUUAGUCAUAAUUUAACCUUAUGAUGAACACUUAAAUAAAAUUUGUCAUCUUUUUCUAUUGAUUUAUAUUUAUUUAUUUAAAAAUUUUGUCUGGCAUAAACUAUCAUCUCACAAAAUCAUCAUUGAUGAGUAGGCUAUGCCCCAGUGUAAGCAUCUCCAAAUCAAACAUCAAUGAGAGGAGUACAACCAAUCAUACAUCAUCUUAUCAAAAUGAAUCUCCGCUUUUCAAAGUCAUCGUGGUAACGUGAAGAGAGUAUUUGACCUCCUCUAAAGAAAAAACAUGUCUUGAUGUGAAAAAGAUCAAGCAAAGUGGUAUGCCUCAACAAAAAUGUGCUCAAACAUGAUCAUGCCCCGAUGUAAGUUAGUAUCUCUAAGAUCAAUCGCCAAUGAAAAGGUUAUUCCCCAGUAUAGGGCAAACUCUGAAAUGACUAAACUCCGUUGCAAGCUCUCAUAAGUGUCUGUGUCAUGAUCCAAUCAUCGCAAAAAUUUGUCAACAAUGAUGAGAAGGCUAUGCUCCUAUAAUCACAUCAAAGAAAUCACUCGGUCAUAUUACUCCAAUGUGAAAGAAAUCUAAUCACCUCCAAGGAACAGCUAUGCCUCAAAACCAUCAUCGACUGAGAGGGGGAUGCCCCUGAUCCAAUCACCACCCUAACUAACGUACCCAUCAUGAGGAACACUUGUUUGAGCUCCAUAAUGGGGAUCAACCAUUAGAUGAACAAGAUUCGAAUAUUACUUGCUCCCCAUUUCAACCAAUGAAUGAUGUACCUGGAAACCUUGUAGACAACCAUAGUUUUCAGCCUUCUUCCUCGCGAUCAUCUAGAACAGAGUCGGUAAGCUUCACUCAUUUCUUAUAAUGGACCUUGACCCACAACGUCGAACUACCUGUAUGCAAAAUUAUCCGUCCAGAAAACCCAUCCAUACAAUUCAGGUUCAAAACCCACAAGAACCACCCUAUGAAUAAACUAAUUAUAGCUGGCUUCGUUGCAAUAGGCAUUAACUUUCUUAUGCUGACAGUCCUAGCAUCAUUUACCAAAGGAUCAACAACUUUUCCAUGUCAGAGAACAUUAUCAAUCACAAUGACACCCCUGGUCCUCACUAGUUGCGAUAGCAAUUUAAAGUAUUCUUGAUUCAAAGGGUAAACAAAACAAAAAAGAAAACCCUAAGUGUGACUCCUUAUUUGAAAAAUGUGGUUUAUGAAAAACCGGAUCGAGCUUAGGGGUCAGGUUACUUAUCGGGAAGGUACAAAAAAAACCGUAGCACCCCUCUAAGUCCCUAAAAUGGGUCUCUAUUGAUAAAAUGAAGCAAUCAUGGCAAUUGGUAAGGAAAUCAUUGAGUAUCAACAUGAUCACACAUUGAGAGUUAAAGCAUGCAUGAGGAAUGGUCAAAGUGAGAAAGGAUGCGUACCUUAGCAACGAGUCCCAAUGCGCUAUCAAGAAAUUGGGUUAGUGCACAAUCAAUAAAUAUAAAAUAUAACACACAUGCAUCACUAAAUAGGGUAAUAAAUCCCCGAUGACAAACCUUGCACUUCACUCAGGUUUAUUUCUACUUCUCUGAUGUUGGGCCCCACCAAAGCUCAUUUUAUUUUGCAUGAAUCAACUCCAAUAACUCCAUUAUUCGGAAUUACGAAAUUUAAUUCUUGCUUAUUUUAAAGCAUUUUAAAAAUAGAGGAGAUAUGAGAAUUGCUCGCCAGAAAAGAAGAUGGCGGCAAAAUUUUAAUGAAAAACGAGUUUUUGGAACCUAAGAAAAAUGUUAAGGAUGGAAAAUUUUGGAGGUUUGAAAUUAAUUAAAAAUUAGAAUUGAGGAAUUUAUUUACAAAAUGGGGUUUAGGAAAAUUAUUUUCAAAAAAAAAAAAUGAUGAAAUGAGAGAUGGCACGUGACACAAGGGUGGCCAUGCUGAAGGCGUUCUCUUCUGGCCCAAGCUGGAAAUGCACUCCAAUUAUCCUUCUUUUCUGGUAUAACACCUUCAUCAAAAUAAAUAGCUUUUGCACCAUACUCUGAUAGACAAGGACCAAUAACAAUGCCUAUAUUUGCCUUAAGUAGACAAAGUAAGUCACCCAUUGAACCUCCAAUAUAAAUUGUCAAGUGCUCUGUGUCAUUACUGCAUCCCUCCUUCAAGAUGUCCUUAGAAACCUAAAGCUUUUCCACGACAUACUCCAUCUUCUUAAUGAUUUCACCCGUGGAAAUGGAUUCUUCACAAGCCAACUCAUUUGAAUAUACUCUCAAAACACCCAUAUCACCUGAUGAAAAUGCUGAUCUAACGAAAUCGCCACACCAACAGUAUGAAAGUCCAUGAACAUCUGCUUUCAGAUUAUUAUUUUUAAGAAUCUUUUGGAAGAAACCUGUGCAACCAUCUUGAAGAAUUAGACCUUGACCAACCUGUUUUAUAUCAUCUGAAUUUAAACCCUUCAAUACUCCAGACUGAGUCACUCUUGAAUCUGCCUUUUCCUCAAAAUCAGAAAGUUGCUCAAGUGCUUUACAUAAGCCUUCAUAAUUGAAUUUUUCCACUGUUUCACUGGGGACGAUGCUUCCCAUGCAUUUUUCAAGCUCUUCAGUAUGCUGGGUAGAUAGAACACCCCAUGUGUGUGUCCAGAUCACCAUGAGUGACCAUUUGAACCUUGACGAAUGAGAGAGUACAUAACAUUUAAGCACACAGGACAUAUAUUAACAUUCUCCAUUAGCUUCUCUUUGCCUUUGUCCACCUCUUGACCUCCCAUGCAGCCAACUGUGAAGACCACGUCCAGGUGCAGUCACGUGGUGACACAUCUCAUGGUCUUCCUCAUCCAAUAAAUCACAUGCUCUGUUAAAUCUGCUACCCGAAUGGAUACCUCCUAUCCAUCAACCUGAAUAUACUCCGAGCUUUCUUCAUAAAACCCAAGAAACUCCAGAAGGCAUCAUGGUUCUCCUCCAUCAUUGAAAUGAUUAGGGAUAGUAAAUCACUCAUCCCUUAGCAAUAUCCCAUUUUUAAACCAUAGGGUGCGUAGGCUUCUAGAAUAGUAGCAAAGUGAGCAACACGGAAAAUCUUGCGUGGAUCCAAGUUCCAUGAUGGUGAUCGUAGCCUCACCUUUGAAAUCACAAGACCCAGAACCCAUUCGUUCUUCCUGGUAAUAACUAUCAGAUGCAUAGGAGGCAGGGUUCUUCAGAUUGUUGAUUUGGUAAAAGCCUCUUCUGGUUGAACCCCUGAAUGAUUCACUUUUCUCAGUCCGCAAACCUAGUUCAGAACAGCCCGCAAGAUCAGAACCUUAACCUAGGCGUGGAGAUCCAGUGUUGUAUAACGCCUCAAUUGUCGGAAGCAGCCAUGGCCCAAACAAUGAUAUAAUGGUCAGCAAGUUGUCCCCAAGGACCAUGACAGUGAUGAGCAUUUCCGGGCAGCGCGUCACCACGUUCCACGUCGCGACGGUAAUGGCUAUGGACUGAGUGUCAUGGUCAGGGAGCUUGAUGAAGCAGGUGAAAAUCUGGUGUUUUAGAUUCUGAGGCAAUGACUGCUUGAUCGGUCGGAUUCUAGUACCGGCGUUACAUUGGGGAGGCAAUCUUAAAGUUCCAACGGAGGUAGUAGUGGACUAAUAUUCCUCAAUAACCAAACUUGAGUUUCUCACUUUCCGCUUCUCAAGGCAUUCACCUGAAACGCUUCAGGCGCCCAAACCCUUUCUGCUCAUCAGUAUAAUCACGCGCAUGAAAGUCUUAACUGCCUUCUAAACUUCACAACUUCAUCUUGCAUCUGGGUCAUCGUCGGCACGAACUUAUCACCUGAUUCAGUUAAUAUCCCCAUAUAACAAGUUCCAAUGAAGUCGCAACUUUGCAUCUUCUUUUCUGCGAUUACUUUGAUUCUCAAAGCCGAUUACUUGUUGCAGUCCAUAGGAGAUUCAAUAAUCAAACAUCAUGCACAAGCAAAAAGGCAACAAAAUACAUCGGCAUGUGGCCCAUACACCCUCCAAAAUCUUCACUCAUUUAGUAAGUUUUAGAUUCAAAAGAGUUAGCCUUCUGGUGAGCAACCCGAUACCCAUAACGAAUGAUGUAUCUGAAACACCUUUCCCACGUGGCCCUUGAAGGAUUCACUAGAAGGUGACCAUGCAUAGUAGGUCUUCACUCGCAGGAGAAUGAGAAGGAAAUAAACCUAAAGGGGGGUUGACAGCGUAGUCUAGAAGGUGAUGAGCUGAGCGGGUGGGGGUAUUAGGGUGGUCAAGUUCAGUGGGUAUGAAGGGUGGAAAGAUGGCAUGAUAGAGGAAUAAGCAGCUGAUAGUGGGUGCGAUGAUAUAAGGUAGGUUGACUAUGGAGAGUAUGGCAUUAAAGGAUGAAGACUUAGAGAGAGAGAGGUGGGUUUAAGGGUAUGGUGAGAUGGAGGGUUGAGGGUGAUAGGCUUGGAUAGUUGCAUGAGGAGGAUGAAAGGUGGGUAUGGAAAAUGUGCAUGGGUAGGAAAUGGGUAUAACAAUGGGUGUGAAUAUUGAGAGGUAGUGAAAUGAAGGCAGCCUUGCUCGUAUGGAUCAGUGUCGGAUUGAGUUAAGAAUGGUGAGAGAAAGGGAUUCGAUGAAUAUUGAAUGAUGGAAAAUGGUGAUUGGUUAGAUAGGGAUUUGUGGUCGAAUGGAAAUAGGAGACAUGAACAUAGAGAUGAGUGUGAUGGAUGAUAGUGGGCAUGAAGGGUAUUGGAUUUGUUCAUGGGUAUAGUGGUUAAAAGAGUGGUGAGAAGAAAAAAAAAUGGCCAUGUAAAUAGCAAUUAUACAUGUGGGCCCGUGAUUGCAAACGGGACUGCAUUGUUGCAUCUCAUGCUGAACCCUCACCUCCUUCUAGGAUCAUUUUCUGCAUCAAAGCUAGAUAAACUUAGAUGGUAUUUCCUGCCAAUUUUGGAUGCCCCCCACUUUGGAAAUAUUUCCUUUUCACCCAUCAGAAUAUGCUUAUCAGGUGUACUUGACUCAGGUUCAUUCCCAUAUUGCCUCUCUGAUUUAUGAUCUUCAAAGGUUUUGCAUGAAGGAAGCCUUUCACUGCAUUCCCCUUCAUCCACCAGACCUUCAGAGCAUCGUUUCCAACAAAAGCAACCUUGACUCUUCUAGUCCCAUCAGAAAAAAGUCUGAAUAUCCUCAGUUUAUGUCAUCCCUUGAUGCCCAACUCAGAAAUGAUCCAAAAAACAGUCAUCUCCCAUAUUUGGCUUCCCAGAAACACCUCGACUCAGAUGGCCAGUCCAAAUGUGAUACCCAACAUUCUAAAAAUGCUAAAAACAGAGGAGAUGAUGAAGAAAAACAGAGCAUGUAUAAAAGAAAAAAAAAAGGACUGUUAAAUCUCACUCCAUUCCAUAAAUGCUAAUGGGGUGGAUAUGGUGGAAUCAAAAGGAAGCAAGAGCGUGAUCUUCAAAAUCAAAAGCAAUGAUGGAUCCAUAUUCAAAACGUUCCAGAAUAGAGAAAGACACAAAUAAGGAGCAGGGUUUUUUUUUGUUACUGGCAGGAAGAUAUUUUUUCUAGAGAGUAACUAGAGAGAAAAAUAGGAAGAAAAGGGAAGAGCAUAGAAGACAUCUACAUAGGAGAGUAUUCAUUGUUGUGAGGAGUAGUAGAGAGCUUAGGAGGAGUUACAAAGAGAGUGAGUUUGGUUAGAGGAGGAAGUUUUGUUGGUUUUUCAGAAAGGAUUCUAGCUUGAGUGAGAGCCAUUCUAGAGAGGGUUAGAGAGGAGAAAGGUGUGUUUUGAGCAGCAAAGACACGAAGCAAAAUAGAGCAGCCAGGAAAGAGAAGCAGAAAAUCAAAAUUACUAAAAAAUUAGUGAAAGCUGUGAAAUUUCAUAUUGUUACUAAUUAUUAUAAUUUUUUUUUGUAUUUUCAAUAUUUCAACCAAUAUUUUAUAUAAUUAAAUUUAAAUUAUAAGAAUUAUAUUAUUAAUACACAUAACUAUCUUAAUGUUUUAACAAUGUAUACUUAUUUAAAUUUAUUUCAAUUUUUUUAUUUUUUUAUAAAUAUCUAAUUAGACUUAUAAUUCAUUGAAAUUAUUCAUUUUUUUUUUACUUCAUAAACCAAUUAUAUUACUUUUUGUAUUUUCAAUAUUCAUUUGGAAAAAAUAAUUUCAAUUUAAAAUAAAAUAAAUUAAUUAACUCUCAAUUUAUAAAUUGUGUCAUUGAAUUAUUUUUUAUUUAUAAUAUUUAGUUUAUUUUAAAUUUAAUUUUUUUUCUUCACCUUUUGGUUUAUCACUUUAUAUUAAAAAAUAAAAUAAAAUUGAAUUUCUUUUAAUUUAUAUUUUCACAAAUUAUUCAAUAUUUUUUUAAUUUUUAUAAAAUAAAUCCUCAGAUUAUAUAAUUGGAUGUUGUAAAGAGUUAAAAUUUUUGUGUUGCAUUGAAUUAUUUUUUCUAACAAAAGUAUAUUUGGGUACCGUAGACAUUAUAUCCAUAUCUUAACGUAUUAUAUACUUUUAUUUUGUGCAAUUAGCAAUUGAGCGGAAGACGCGGAGCCGGCUAACGGAAAUACCGCGUGUCACGCGUGUCCCUUCCCGUACCAAGUCUCAACUGCUUCAAGAUUUCCGACGCGCCCUUCUUCGCUUAACUCUUAAGUCUUUUCUUCCACUCUUCCUUAAACCCAUCACAUUUCGCCGCGUGGACCUAAGUCUCAAUGUCCUUGUGUUCAUACGAUGUAUGUUCCCCCAAUUCCUCAUCUACACUGAAACUCCAUACUCGCCUACUCAAUCACUUCUCUACUCUAGAGUCUGGAUGCUUAUCUCUGCGCGUGUCGAUGGCUCUUCACCCCAGCGAGUAUGGCAUUACAAGGGCAAUAUCGUCAUUAAAGACACAACAGAGUGUCUAUUUUAUUUAAGCUGUACGUAAUCGUGAUUGACUUCUUAGUAUCCUUUUGCUCCUAGUCUUCUCCCGCGUCUCUUAUAAAAACUAAAGAAAACCACUCCAAGAGAGCACACUACAAGAAUCUUCUUCCUUUUUUUCUUUCCUCUUUCUCUUUACAGAUAAACUGAGAAAGCCCAGCUCAUCCCUCAAUUCCCAGAUGGGUUUCAUGAAUGUUCUCAAGUUCUCAGCUGCAUGCUUUGAUCUUCUUGGCUGGUAUGUUGUCCACGCGUUUUCUUGCCAUUGGAAAUUUUUGGGAAAUGAAGUGGAAUUCUCUGUUUGAGGACAAACAUGGGAUUUUCUUUGAUUUCUCCCUGUUGGUUUUAUCUAUAUUCUUUGAAUUACCCACAUUCUUGUCAUUGAUUGUUAGUCAUUUGUUUGGAUUUCUACUUGCAGGCCUCUAUGUGCACUGGGUUAUCCUCUGUAAGUCUUGGUCUUACACCUCAAGAUAUGAUGAUUCAUUUACUCUUUUCUUGUUCUACGAAUGGUUCAGUUACAUUUAUUGUGUUGGGAAACUGAAAAGGAAAAGGAUUAUUAGUUAUUAUCGUAAUAAUCAUCAACAUCAUCUCGGUUCUUCACAGAUGUGCUUCAAUUCGGGCAAUUGAGACUAACUCAAUCUCAGACUUUCGGAAGUUGGUGGCGUAUUGGGUUCUAUUUUCCUUGAUUUCACUCUUUGAUCAUGCUUUUUCCAAGCUCCUUGAAUGGUAAUUUUGCUCAACUGCAUUCCACUAUAUGUGACUCUGUUUGUUUCAUUUCUUUGCCCUUAAGGAAUUUGGAGUUGCUUUUUUCAGUUUUCUUUCCUAUGAAAAUAAUCGAGAGGUCUCCAUGUAUUUUAUAUUCCUUCAUUUCUCUGCUUUGACAAAGGCCCACAUUCUGAUCAGCAGAAAGGUUAUAACAUUUGAAAAAGAAGUGCUUUAUUUUUGUUUUUUGUUAGUACAAUAAUUUUCGUUUGGAUAAAUGGUCUGAAGGGUGUUUGUGUUUGGCUGAGUUCAUGGAAUUUUCUAGCUAAUUUGGGAUUUAUUCUCAAUUUCAAGAUCAUUGUGGAUAUGUCAGAAAUUAAUGAAAUAUAAACGGUGGAAUGUGAUUUUCUUGUUUAAGAAAAGUUUUUCUUUGAAAAUACGGGUGCACCUGACCUACCUUAUUGUGCUACUUGGAACACAAAACAUUAGUACAGGUAAUUUAUUAACUAAAUUGUACACUUUUUGAUAGUUCAAGGAGGUGGUUUUCUUCUUUUAGGGUGUCAGCUUUGGAAAUAGGAUGGAUCUAAAAGUUUUUAUGUCUCAUCUUUAUAGGGAACUUGAAAGCAUGGAUGCACUUAUUUCCAUGGAAUUUGGCUUCCUUGAAAUCAAAUUAAGCUUUAUGCAUCAUUUGGAUGCUGAGAAACAAAUGGAAAUAGAAAAUUCAGAAUCUGACAAGUUUUUGUAGGGCAACUGGAUCUAAUCUCUUAGUCGAAGCCUAAUUGGGGCAAAUGCUGAUCAUCUUUGGACCCCAUUGAAAGCUCUAAUCUGUGCACAAUUCUAAUGUUUUUGUUUUCUUCAUUUCUUUUUCAACUUUUCACAAUAGAUGUCAAAGGUUAAAACCAAAUUUACGCAGUCCAUCCAAGUGGAUGCAUAUAAAUUUAACAGAAACUGAAAUUCGAAGAAAUUUAUUUUCCCUUUUGUAAAUGGUGUUUAAAUAUUUUAUUUUCUUAUAUAAUGCAUGUCAGGGUACCAUUCUGGCCUUACAUAAAGCUGAUGGUCAUCUGCUGGCUGGUGAUACAGCAGUUUGAUGGUUCAUAUUAUGUCUAUCAACACCUAGUUCAGCCAUGCUUGUCCAUGGAUCCACAAGCUGUCAUGAACUGGCUCUUCAAUGAAUCAAAAAAGAAGUUUCAUAGCAGAGAAAACUUUCUUGUUUCAGCAGACCGAUAUAUUAAGGAGAAUGGACCUGAAGCUUUGGAGAAACUACUUUCUAGGAAGGUAUGCCAUUAUAAGUAGGAUUAUCAACAAGUCAAACAGAGUUUUAUUUGAGAUGUUCAGGUAAAAAAUGACUAUAGUAGGUCAUCUAGAAUCAUUUGGUCUAAAUUCAUGUAUAUAUCUAUAUAUAAUUGUGUUCUCUUUUUUUCACAUAUGCAUGUGCAUUUAGAUUUACAUAAUUAUAUAUGCAUAAUCAGAUUCAACUGUGAUAGCCCGGAAUUAUUUCAGUAAUCAACUCUUCUGGGAACAUGUUGGUUAUGGUUUCUCUCUCACUGUCCUCUUCUUUAUACAUGACUUUGGCUUCAGUUGAGGAGCGCAAAGCCUAAUGUUGAAGUGAAAAAGAUCAAAGCACCUGCAGCACCGGAGAAAAAAGGGGAACAGGUAAGUUCUCUAAUGUGACUAUUUAAUUUCUAUGAGGCAGAUCCCCAGAGAAAUGUUGCUCAUGUAAAUUACUGAUGCAUUUGAUUCAAUGGCAUGGUUUUAAAAGAAAAACCACUUUAUGUAUGUUUCUGUGAAUAAGAGAACAAGUUUAUGGAUUAAAUGAUAUUUUUUAUGGUGGAUUAAUCAAUAAUUUUCAAAAUAAUAAUAUAUUCGUGCAUGUUUUUGCAAUUCAUGAAUUCCUUUUAUGAUUGAUUCUUCUUGCCUUUUUUCUCACCUCAGUGGAAGUGUGAAGAGCCUAAUGUUGCUCAAAAGGAGAUCCAAGUUGUCAAAGUAACAGAGAUAAAAAAUGGGGGGGAUGGAGCAAAGAGGGUAAGUUUUGCUUUUUAUUUAUAAAGUAGGCUGUCUUCACACAAGGAUUAUUAUCUUUAAGACAUGAAUGUUGAAUGCUUUUGGAAUUGUCCAUGAAUCAUGUGUAGUGUGAAUGGCCUAAUGCUGCUAAGAAGGAGGUCAAAGUGACAGAAGUAACACACAGAACAUUCGGUGGUACAGCACAGUGGGUAAGGUUUCAUGUCAUAUUUAAAUGGCUCCUCAUAUUUCACUAGGAUUAAUUUUGCCCCUACAAACAUAUUUGGCUACAAGUUAAGACAGAGUUCCAGAUGCUGAUAAAGUUGAGACAUAAGUAAUGAAUGAGUUUAGAAACAUGCACAACUCUUGUGUGAAACACAAUGAGAGUGGAAAAUAGCUAAGUUGAAAAAUGGCCAAAUACUAUUUUGUAGUUCCCCCUACCACUUAAGUAAUUUUUGUCAUCCUUUGUGAAUGGAAAAUCCAGUCCCUUCAGUAAUUCCGUUAUAUUCAUGACUUGGUGAAGCAUAUAACCAUUAGUGUCUUGCCUUAAGUCGACCUUUAAUGAUGAUCCAUUGAGAUGGGUCUGACUUUUGUCAACCCUCUUAUUCCCUUGAUCAUAGAGGUUAAACUUAGGGGGCUUAACCCACUUUUGAACCUUAUUGGAUAUAUGGCACAUGGUAUCCUCUUCAUCUUGAAAGAGUGAAGUGGUCAUACUCUUUCCUCUGAGUCCAUUGUGGCCAUGCACUUCUGGCCCAUUGGGCUGAGUGAAAGGAUUCCCUUCUGCUUCAAAUCAUAGAGAGAUAUGCCAUGGUCAGCCUCUUUAAUUCAAGGGAUCGAAGUACUCAAAUCCAUUUCUCUGCAUCCAUCUUAAUUCUGCAUUCAUGUCUCAUGGUUAACCAAGAAGAUCCAGCUUCCAUCCAUGAGAUCAGCAUCUGCAGGUUUAUGACACCACCCUUCCUUGGCAUAGGAAAGGGAUCAUUAAGCCAUGUGUUGGAUGACAGAAGUCAUCAUUCAGGUUAUCUUGAGAACUAAGGAAGUUGGAAUUCUAAUUAUUGCAUAUGGUUCUUGAUGUUUAGCCAAUAUACCGUAGGAUUUUAAGGAUCAUGCUCAUGUGCAUUGUGGUUGUUUAUCAGCUAUAUGGUUUACCAAAAUGAGGGACUGAUUAUGGUCAUAAGUACCUUUUUCCUAUUAAUUUCUUGCAUGUGCUCUGCUGAGAUUAUGUUUUUGACAGUCCAAAUCAGGGCAAACCAACAAACAGCUUUAUGUUAACUUUUACAAACUGCCACAUUUUCAGGUUAAACGAACAGAGAUAAAUCUUGGUGAAACUAGAAGUAAUACAACUUGUGCUGUGGAGAUAAAAGAAAGGGCAGCGGCACUGGUGGCUGCAGAAAUUGAGGCAUGUAGAGACGAUAGAACCCCCAAGAUACCUCUUCAUGAGAAAGUCCAGAAAGAGUGGGCUUGUGCUGUAUGCCAGGUCACAACCCAAAGUGAAGCGACCUUCAAUUCCCACCUUCAAGGGAAGAGACAUCAGGCCACUUCUGAGCAGCUGAGAGCCAAAAACCAGGCAACCAAAACCAAUUGUUCCCCAUCUGCUUCAAUGGCCAAGAAAUCUGAUCAGUCCACCAAAGAGGAGCAACCGAAGUGUACUUCCAACAAUCUGAAUUCCAAAAACAAUGGAAUCUCAGCUGCUUCAACAGUGAAGAAACCUGAUGACACCAAAGAUGAUGAGCGACAAAAGUCUGCAUCUAGCAAUGAACCGAACCAGAAGAAUAACAAAAAGCAAGAGGUACAGACCAAUGAGCAAGGCCAUCAGAAGAACUUAAAGCAAACUGGCGAUGGAAUGAAAGAGUUGAGAUUAUGCUGCAAUAUCUGUAAUGUAAGCUGCACAAGUGAGCUUGACAUGGCCUCUCAUCUCAAUGGAUGGAGGCACUUUAAUAUGAUAAAGGAGGCGUCUGAAUUAUGGUGCAGUAACUGCAAUGUAAGGUGCAACAGUGAGGCUGUCAUGGCCUCUCACCGAAAUGGGAGGAGGCACUUGAAGCAGCUGAAGGAACGGUCGGGAUUAUAGUGCAGUAUCUGUAGCGUGAGAUUGUGUUAGGAAGAGGUGGAAUGGGUUCCAAUCAGGAAUUAAGACUCGGUUCCAAGACAUGGAAAGUGUCUUUAGAUUAUGUUAUCUCCAUUUUUUUUAUUGUGAGAGGGGAGUAUAAGGAAUGAAAAUAAAUAUAUAUAUAUUUUUUAAUAGAGAUGAAUUUGAUAAUUUUAAUUAUUGUGUUUUGAUGUAUUUAGGAAUGUAAAAUUAAAAUAAUUAUUUAUUUUCAUUUUAGUAUUUGACAAUAAUAAAAUUAUGAAUUAAAAAAUAAUGUGAUAAUAAUACAUUUAUAUUUAAUUUAAAAUAUUUUUUAUUUUAUUUUAGAAGAAUAUGGGUUAAAUUCUUUUUUUAAAUAAUAAGCUUAAGAAAAAUAAUUUUUACUCAAUAAAUAAAAUUAAUCAUAAAAAGUCAUAACAACCUAAUAAAAAUAUAGGGGUAAAAUAAUAAUUUUAAAAUAUUAUUUAAGUUAUCCAAACAAAUUUGACUCUUCAUUCUCUCUCUUGAACCAAAUACGGUCUUUUAAGCGUUUGUCAACUUAUUUUUUUUUGCAAAAUAUCAAUAUUUUACUAAUAUUUUUAUCGAUUAUUUGCCAAUAUUUAUCGCCACGUCACCAAUUCUUUGAGUUUGACUUUCAAAAUUUUGAAAUGAUAUUUGAAGUCCAGUUCAGCCCAAAUCACUACACCCAUGAUUUUUCCCUUUUCUUUUUCUCCUUAAUUUUCACAUCACCCAACAACACUACUCUUAAUUCACACAAAUUUGAAGGUUUGGAACGAGACUUCUUCCUAAUUAUAUUGUAAUUAUGUUAUAAUAACCAUGUCGUAUUUGGAUUUAUUUAUUCAGUCCAUCUAAAUCUUUUGUUUAUUCAUGUAAAAAGAAUAUAGUUAUAAUCGAAUCCAUUUGUGACAUAUUCAUCUUUUAUAAAUUUAUUAAUUUUAUAUAUUUAAAAACUAUAAAAAUUAAAUAUAUUUUUUCAAUUAUGAAUAUCAUAUUACUAAAAUAUUAAAUAACUAAUUAACUUGAAAUGUUUUAUAUUUCAUUCAUUAUUUUAUAAUUACAACAUUAAGUGAAAUAAUAAAUAGGUUAAAAUAUAUAUUUUAUUUUAGUUAAAAAUUAUAAAUUGUUAUUGAGACGUAUAACUAUUAAAAUUCUACCCAUUUGACCAUCAAACAAACAACUUAAGUUUUUAGUCAUAAUUUAAGCUUCUGAUAAACUCUAUUUCCAUAAAUUAGAAACCGAAAUCAAUUUCUUCUUAGACUCAAAAACAUAAAGACAAUCUUUUAAUUCUAGAAGACAUCUAUCAUUUAAGAUAAGGGUAACAUAUCCCAUUGCCUAAACAACAACUCUUGCUUCAAAAGCCAAUGUCAAGUACAUAUCCCUAUCAUUCAACCUUUCCCUUAGCUAAAACCCCUAUAAAGAAUUAUAAACAUAAUCAAUGGCUCCAAAAUUUAUCCACCAAGAGUUAGUGGAAUCCAACACUAAACAUAAUUCAACUAUAAGAGAAUGAUGCAUAGUUGACUAUCUCUUCAAGAACUAAGGACAUUCCUUCUUCUUCUAAUGGCAUUUUUUACCACAAAGGAAACACUUGUCAUGACCCUUACUCUUCUUCUUCUUCCCCUUAGCCUUAAACUUCCCCUUCUGCUUGAUGAACUCUAUAGUGUUCUUCUUAUUUUGGCUAGAAAAACCUAAAGAACCCUUAACUGCCAUAUAAAUACCUCUCUGGUCCUUGAGAAUUCCCUCAGUCAUUUUGUGUUCUCUCAUUAGUUCAAUUGUAGUUUAAGAAAAAUAAUGUUUUUUAUUUUAUUUUAUGUGAUUGAACUUGGAAUGAAUUUCCAAGUUGCAUACAUACUUGGGUUGAGAUCAAGUCAUAACGUAGUUUAAGAAAAAGAUUUUUUAUUUUUUAUGUGAUUGAACUUGGAAUGAAUCUCUAAGCUACCUACGUAUCCAAGAUGGGAUCAAGUUCUAACAUAGUCACAAUGCAGUUCAAGAUUUUUUUUUUUCUUUUUUUGUGCUCUAACUUUUGUCAAGACUAAAGAUCUUAAUCUUGCAAGCAUGUCCUAACUUUUGUCUAGGUCACCUUUCCAAGUUUUCAACUUAGCAAACAUUUUUUUUUUUUGUUCUCUAACGUUUGCCAAGACAAAAGAUUUUAAUCUUGCAAGCAUGUCAUAACUUUUACCUAAGUCAGAUUUUUAGGUUUUCAAUGUGGUGGAUUUUUUUGUUUUUUAUUUUUUAUUUUUUAUUUUUUGUGUCGUAGGCAAUUUAGCUCAUACGGCCCAGAAGCGAUGUGUAGUUUGUUGGGAUUCAACCCUUAAAAGCAAAACAUGAUGUAACAAAGUUAGACUUAACUAUCCCCUUGCUAUCAUUUUGGUGUAUUAACAUUGAUUUAAACAUUCAACUCAUAUUUUACAUUGUACAUGACUUAGGUGCAUUAGGAGUUGCUCAUAAGAUACAUGGAUUCCUUGUAAGUAGAUGAGUUAUCCAUAGUCAGUUCAUGGAUUUGGGCAAUCUAGUAGAGACUGUAAUGCACCACCUCUUAAUUGAAGAGAUGACUUGUCUUGACAGUUGGGAUAGGUUUCCUAUGGUGAGUGCACUAGUAUAUAUGAUGCACAUUGGAUAGGACCUACGGUAAAUCAUGAGCAAAGCUAUCAAUUGUCAUGAUUCACCAAGUUACGAUACUGCAUGGACUCUCAAUCUUGAGAGGACAUUGAACCUGUGCCAAAAUCAACAAAAAGCUUUCACCUAUAGAUGAGACCUUAAAGUGAUCAUAUAUCCCUAUGGAUUGAGUCACUAUUGAUGAAGGUUGGUGGUAAUAGGUAUUCUCAAUAGAGGCACCAUGAUAUCUCAUGAGAUUGAGACGGUGUGUCCCCUUGGGUGAUACAAAGGACAUGUGAUCAUAAAAUCUGUGACCAUAGUAAUUCUUUUAUUGAAAUUUGACAUAUACCCCUUCGAGCUAGAGUAUGUCAGUUGAUUACAUAAUAAGUGGCAUCUAUAACUUAAGGAUUUGAGAGGUAAUCUUGAUAGGUGAUAGCACUACCUUGUUAGAUUAUGGACACCAGUUCAUGGGGAAUCUACAUGCAGUGGAUGAUAUGUCACGAACGCGAGCUUCAUAUCGUUGUUAUUAACAUAGGAUACUGGAGUGCAAUUGAUUCUCUUUAGUAGAAUGUUGAAUCAACUUCAAAAUGGAUUAUGAGGGAGCCAAUACUCCUAUGGGUCUUAAUGGUCCCCACUCUGAGCUCAUAUACCAUGAUGACACAGUUUAUGAGGGUUUGAUUGGCUUUAUGUUCAUUUUUGUGCAUAAGGGCAUUUUGGUAAUUACACAAGGUUACAUAGGGGAUAGUCAAUAAGGUCUUUAGAUUGGGCCAAUUGAUUAAUUAGAUGACCUUAUGUGGUUAAUUAAUCAAUUAUGAUAUGUUUAGGCUAGAUUAAAUGACCCAAGCCUUGAUGAAUUUAAGUCACUUAAGCCUAGCAGAUAACCUUAUAAAUACCCUCUUAUGGGUUAGGGUUUCCUAAUGACUUUCAGUUAAUCAUCUUCCAUCCCUAGAAAGAGAAAGAGAGCCAAAUCUUUCUCCCUUCCAUUGCCCACACUUUGGUAUGCCAAGAUCAUGGUUCAAGUCACUGGGAGGAAGAUCUUGGGUGUACAAGACCUUCGGACUCUUUAAGUUUCUUCUUCGUUGGAUGAAUUUUUAUUUGGGACACAUCUAGAUCAUAAGUAUGUGUUAGAAAAUUUGGCUAAUUCAACUUAAGGUAAUCACUCUAGAGGAGGGGUGAAUAGGGUGAUGAUCUUUUUUUACAAAUUUAAAUUAUGUGAAUGCAAGAGACAAUUAUACUAUGCAAAUAUAUAGUAAAACCAUAUAAAAAUAAUUGCAUAUAAAGUACAAGGGUAGAAAAUAGAGAAUAUAAACACAAGAUUUUUAUAGUGGUUUGGUGCAACUCGGCCUACAUCCAUUCUCCUCUAGCUUCAAUCCCAAGUUUGAGGUUCCACUAAUUCAAGGCUUCCAACCUAACCCUUCAAGCAAUACAAUUGGAUUAUGGUUCCAAUCAAACCUUUUGGACUUUUGGCUCUAAGCACCUUUUACAAUCUUUGAUUCGUGCCUAACUGGUGUUUGCCCUGUUGAUUGGUGUUCAAUCAACUGAUGUGCUUUGAUUUCAGUCCUCAGACGAGAGUAAUCAACAAAAUUUAUAAACCUAUUUCACCAUAUACUAGGGUAGCAUUAGCUAGCAUAGCAUAGUGGCUCUAGGAUCGUCCACAGGGAUGGGUUUUCAAAUUACAAUUGAUAUUAGUUCAAAAACUGAAUUGGUGUUUUUUCUUUUCAAGGUUAGCUUUAAAAGAAAACAUAAGUAUGUGUGAAAAGGUUGGUUUUAAGUGAAACCAAAAAUAAAGUAACUGAAAUUACUUACAAAGAAAAGUGCUUCUUGGAGUUUUAGAUCACUAGGCUCAAGUUCCUUAUACAAAAAGAGAGAUUCCGAUCACUUGGAUCUUUUCCUAGCAUUGGGGAUUUAACAUAUAGUUAUUUCCCGAACCGGUGCGGUACAGAUGCUUCCCCUUAAUGGUUUCAAACACUAAAUCUCUAUCACUGAAUCAUCUUGUAAUGGUUCAUACCUCUCACCUGGUAUUGGUCAUUUAAGGUGAUCAUUAACCUUGGAUUACCCGUCAAAAGCUCGCAAAAGAUAACUAAUGAAUGUCUCCUAGGAGUCCAAAAGCUUACCAAGUGUUGGCUAUUCUAGAUAAUCCUACCUUUAAACCAUCUCCCAAAAGCUCGCAAGAGAUAAACUAGUGGAUCUCAAUGGACGGAGUCCACUUGCCUUACCAAGUGUUGGCCCAAGUGAUUUUAAGGGAUUUUAAGUUAACUAAAAAGAUAAAAACCAUUAACGGGUCACACUUUCUCUUCAUUAAAACCUGAAACAAUGAAACUUCCACUUUUGUAUACGAAACCUUACCUAGCUUCCUUCACUCCAAGAAACAAAAAGCCUAGCCACUCAUCCUCUAGGAAAACAUCCUCAGAGUUUGAUUUGGUAGAAAUAAAAAUAAAAGAGAAAACCAAAUGUGAAGGUAAGGCCGAGCAGAGCUCUGUGUAUUACUUUAUGAAAAACUAUACAAAAUUUGUCUCUAAGAGAAACUCCCCCGAGAUCUCUUUUAAAAGAAAAUUACAAUAGAUAUCAUAUAAAGAGGCUAUUCACCCCUCUUGCUAACUUCCCAACCAUGAAAACUUGUCAAUGGUGGGUUACAAGGAGAAAAUAGGGAUUUACACACAAAUAUUUGAAGAUAAACAUCAAACUGAGUCGGUGCGCAAAUAUCUCAGAUUACAAGUGGAUUUCGCAAGUUCAAACGCAACUUGCAAAAAUUUUGCAAGUUGAAAUUAUGGUUUCGCAAGUUGCGAAAUUGUCCUGCAACUAAUCAGCUCUCUGUCCUACAACAAUUCCUUUCCUCUUCCUAUUUCGCAAGUUGUGAGAAUUUCGCAAGUUGGAUUCCACAACUUGCAAAAUUGUUGGAUGGUUGAUUUCUUUUGUGAUUUUCUUCCUUGCAUCCUCAUUUGGCUUUGGCAAAGGGUUAUGAAGCUCCAAAGCUUAGUUUCUUCAUGAAUUUGAGCUUCAACUUGCUUUGCCAUGAACUAUACAAAGAUCUCCCUCAUUCUUGGAUUGCUUUGGUGAUAAAAAAGCUAUGAAAAACACCAAAACUUAACACAAUUUGAUUAGAAACGAUUGUAAGGGUCUUUAACAUGCCAAUUGAGUUAAAAGGUAAUAGCUACUACUCAAAAGUGUUUAAAAGAGUUAAUUACAAGCUAUAAAAUGACCCUUUUUGAAGUUCAACCCCUUAAGUGAUACCCCUUAAGUGAUACCCCUUAAUUCAAGAGAUGUCUUACUCUUAAACAACCCCUUAAGUGAUACCCCAUACUUGAGAUUCCCUAAGUGAUGCCUCACACUUAGAUUUUUCAUCUCAAAGAUUUACAAAUGAAGAUAGGAAAUAAUCUCACAAAAUCUUAAUACAAAACAUUAGGCUCAAAUGAUACAAGAUAAACUAUGAUUGAAUGGUGCACUAAUAAUAUGCAAGUUUUAAAACAAUGAGUACUAAAAAACACUCUCCUAAGGUUCAAAUAUAUUCAAGAAAGAUUUAAGAAGGUUAAACUCUUGAAACAAUAAAGAUUGAAACCUUUUUAUGGAGGAGAAAUGCCAAACUAGUUGUUGGGGGUUUGUCCAGUCGAGUUCUGGUUUGACCGGUUCACUAACCGUUAGCAUUUAAUGCAUGAUAGGUGAUCAUUGGGCCUUGACCAUCCCUCGACCAGUACUCAACCGGAUAAAGUUCAACCUUAAUCAAUCGAAUAAGCAUUCUAGAAUAGAGAGAAGGUUUUUGCACCUUUCAAUCAGUUGAGUUGAACAAAUAGACGGAUUCCUUAUCCAGUUCAACCGGUUGAGCCAUUUUUGGCUCAACAAUCAUCAUUUUCAACUUAAAACCUUUUAAACAAGUUUAGAAAGCAUUUGACACAAGGAUUUAGUUGAAAACAUUAAAUCAUCCUAUUUUUAAAAGAUUUAAAACAAAAUACCUCUUGAAUGAUUUUGGUGUAUAAGUAAAUAAUGUAAUGCAUGAAAAACCCAGUGCGCCAACAACCUUACAAAGAGAUCUUAUGAGGCUUAGGUAUUGAAAAACACUUCUCUUUAAGGCAGACAACAUCGUGUGAAUACCAAAGGGGAACUCUACGUUCCUAGGGAAAGAUGCCUCGUCAGUACGUCUUGAGGUUGUUCACUAACUUCGGGGUUACCGGCUUUGAGAGGAGCCCUUUGAUGACAUUUGGGCAUGCAACUCUUCAUUUUCUUCCUUGAUUCGCCUUGUUUGGUGGAUCAAAGAUUGCAUAUGCCAGUCAUUUUUGCACUAGGUUCUCUCCAUGCUUUCACGCCAGCCAAAGUAGCUUUCGUUACCCAUAGUUGAGGAUCGGCUUCUAAAGGGUACUAACAUCCUUAGUCAUUCCCACAGAUGACACCAAUGUUGGUUCUGAGUCGGCUGAAGUCAAAUUCAUCCAACUUAACGGAAGUUUGACAACCUUCCUCCAUUUUUUGUGCCUCUUAGAGAAUCCACCUAGCAGUAAUGAGAUUGGGCGAACUCCUUUCUUGCACAAAAGAAUGUUCAGAUGAGUACUUCGGGUACGCCCUUCGAAGCUUAAGUGAGGCAAAAAUAGCUCAAACUACUUAAUGAGAGAGAGUGGAUAGGUGAAUAUGUGCCUACCUUGUUCGUGCUUUUUGAGGGGUUUAUAUAAUGUUGAUGAGAAUGCCACUAUAGUGCUUACUAGACACUUUAACUUUCUUCUAUAAUGAUGAUUGUCUUGCAGGCGGUUGGGCAAUCAUCAAAAUUUUGGGUGGCUGAUAGGUGCCAUCAACUAACGUGCCAUGAUCUUAGACCAUGCAGUAACCUGUUCCCUCAGUCUGUUGAUGGCCUAAGGUUAUGUGCAACAAUUAAUUGACAUGGACUUGAGGGCUAGAAGAGGUCCCAUCGGCCGUUCACAUGUCAAGUGUGAAUGAUCACUCAUGCUAGUGGGUCUUGAAGAUUUGACUAGACAACCUUACCUAUUUGGGAGGUCCAACCUCCCAUUGCCGUUGUUUUGGCCUUAUAGGAGAAAAGGGCUUUCUCAUGUAUGGUGCUAGAGGGACUAGUCGUGAUCCAGAUGAGUUGCAUACCCAUGCUAGAUGGUCGAAGUGUCCGGGUUGGAAAUGGAGGGAAGCCUCCCACAAAUAUGAGGGAGCCUUAUGAAAACGGAUCCUUAGGGCUUAAGAAGGGGUUUUCAAUUUUAAGGUUUGCCUUUUCACCCAAGGAUGUGAAUGGGAAGAUGAGGCGAAGUUAAAAGAUUGGUGAAGCAAAGUGAGGGCAAGGUAGGGUUUGAAUAAAGGAAAGUAUACACUAUUAAUGAAGAUGAUAAUCUCUAGAAAGAAAAACUAAGGUAAACUAGGGCUUUAAUAAUAAUUUUCAAUCUACACUAGUGAAGAGGAUAUCUUCGAAAACCAAAGUUAGGGCUUCAAUAACGAAUUUCAAUCUACAAUGGUGAAGACAAUAAUCUUCGAAAACCAAAUCUAUAAUGAUGAAGAUGAUUGAAAACUAAAUCUAUACUAGUGAAGACGAUUGGAAAGCAAAUCUACACUGGUGAAGACAAUGAAACCAAAUGUAGGUCUUCUAAACUAAACGCUUUUAAGGAUUUUCCUUUUUUUUUUCCUUUGUUUUCAAGAAAGGCAAACUCUUUAGAAAACUAAAAAAACUAAUGCAUUCUUAGAUCCAGAUCACUAUUUCCAACAUGGUAUUUGGAUUGCCAGCUUGCAUUUUUUAUUUUUUUAUUUUUUUAAUAGUCAUUGGCAUUUUAGGGAUUAUUGAAGGAUAAUAUCAUUCAGCUCAAUUUCCCAAAUUAGUUAGGUCUUACACUCAAAUGUGAAACUUAUAUGGAUGUUAGGCCAAUUAUCAAACUCAUCUGCCCUAAAACAUAAUUUCCCUUUUUUAAAAUAGUUGUUAAACAUCUAUCCCAAACACGUUUAACCCUUUGAAUUGCUUGUAUGUUAACCUUGUUUCCUUUUCUUCAUGCAACAUGGCUUAUUGAUGGUUGCAUUGAAUCAUUAUCAUUCACCAAUUCCAUGCAACUAUGGACUACAUUUCAAAUCCCUCGAACAUAAAUGGUAAUUCCAAAACAACUCAAGUAUAAUCUUUUCAACCCUUUCAAAUGAUUUAAUUAAUUGAUUUUUGAAUAUAUUCAUAUAUUUUUUUGAGCAAUUUUUAGGCAUAUAACAUAAAUCUCUUUUUUAUAUAUAUAUAAAAGGUUUUAUAUUUUAUAUUACAAUUUCCUUUUGUUUUUUCAUCUAAAAAACAAAACAUAAAACCUUAAUAAACGAGUUUUGUCACAAUCCCUUAACAAGUAAUCUAUUUUUUAAAUUACUUUAACAUUUUUAGAUAUAUUGAUUCAAUCUAAUUUACUUUUAAUAUUUUUUAUAAAAUAUUUUUACUUUAUAUGACUAUAAAUUAAUUACUAUUGAUUGCAUAUUAUAGAAUAUAUAUUCUAAAAUAUAUCUUAUUGACAAUAUAAUCAUAAGAUGUUAUAUCCAUAUCCUAACAUAUUAUAUACUUUUAUUUUGUGCAAUUAGCAACAUGGUGGGAAGUGGCAAGCAGCUUAACGGAAAUGUCAUGUGCCAAUGUGCCAUGCGUGUCCCUUCCCUUAGUGAGUCUGAACUGCUCCAACAUUUCCGACAUGUUAUUUUUUACUUAGCUCUUAAGUAUUUUCGUCUCGUUUUCGUUAACCCCAUCACAUUUCGCCACAUGGAUCUAAGCCUCAUGGUCCUUUCGUUCGUACAAUGAAUGUUCCCCCAAUUCCUUAUCUACACUAAAACUCCAUACUCGCCAUCUACUCAACCACUUCUCUACUCUAGAGUUUGGGUCCUUUAUCUCUGCACGUGUCUAUGGCUUUUCACCCCAACAAGUAUGGCAUUACAAGGGCAAUAUCGUCAUUAAAGACCCAAAAGGGAAACCAAUGGCAUUAUCUUCCUUUUGGUCUAUUCUAUUUAUAUUGUAAGUUAUUCGUGAUGACUUCUCCCAUAAAAGCUAAAAACCACUCCAAUAGAGCACACUUCACUUCUUCAUUUUUUUUUUUCCAGAUAAGCUCAGAAAGCCCAGCUCAUCCCUCAACUCCCCGAUGGGUUUGAUGAAUGUUCUUAAAUUCUCAACUGCAUGCUUUGAUCUUCUUAUCUGGUAUAUUGUCCACGCAUUUUCUUGUCAUUGGAAAAUUUUGGAAAAUGAAAUGGAAUUCUAUGUUUGAUGACAAAACUGGGAUUUGCUUUGAUUUCUCCAUGUUGGUUUUAUCCCUUUUGUUUGAAUUGUCCACAUUCUUGUCAUUGGUUGUUAGUUAUUUGUUUGGAUUUCUACUUGUAGGCCUCUGUUUGCACUGGGUUAUCCUCUAUAAAUCUUGGUCUUACACACCAAGAUAUGAUGAUUCAUUUACUCUUUUCUUGUUCUAUGAAUUCUUAGUUCUGUUACAUUUAUUGGGUUGGAAAACUGAAAAAGGAAAGGAUUAUUCGUUAUUAUCAUAAUAAUCAUCAACGUCAUCUCAAUUAUUCACAGAUGUGCAUCAAUUCAGGUAAUUGAGACUAACUCGAUCUCAGACAUUCAGAAGUUGGUGGCAUAUUGGGUUCUAUUUUCCUUGAUUUCACUUUUUGAUCGUACUUUUUCCAAGCUCCUUGAAUGGUAAUUUUGUUCAACUUCAUUCCAUCAUAUGUGGCUCUAUUUGUUUCAUUUCUUUGCCCUUCAGGAAUUUGGAGUUGCCUUUUUUAGUUUUCUUCCCUGUGAAAAUAAUCGAGAUGUUUAAUGUUCCAAGCCUCCAUGUAUUUUAUUUUCCUUCAUUUCUCUGCUUUGAUAAAUCCCCAUGAUUUGAUCAGCAAAAAGGCUAUAACAUUUGACAAAGAAAUGCUUUAUUUUGGUUUUUUAAGUACAACAAUUUUCAUUUGGAGAAAUGGUCUAAAGGGUAUCGGUGUUUGGAUGAAUCAUGGAAUUUUCUCGCUAAUUUGGGAUUUAUUCUCAAUUUCAAUAUCAUUGUGGAUAUUUCAAAAAUUAAUGAAAUAUAUAUGAUGGAAUGUGAUUUUCUUGUUUAAGAAAAGUUUUUCUUUAAAAAUUUAGGUAACCCUGACCUACCUUAUUGUGCUACUCGAAACACAAAACAAAAGUACAAGUAAUUUAGUAACUAAAUUGCACACUUUUUGAUAGUUCAAGGAAGUGGUGUUAGCUUUGGAAAUAAGAUGGAUCUACUAGUUUUUAUUUCUCAUCUUUAUAGGGAACUUUCCAUAAUAUAGCUUAUAAAUACCAUAAUCACAGUGAUGAAUAAUUGUCUUGUUUGAAAGCAUGGUUGCACUUAUUUGCAUGGAAUUUGUCUGCGUUGAAAUUAAAUUAAGCUUUAUGCAUCAUUUGGAUGCUGAGAAACAAAUGAAAAUAGAAAAUUCAAAAUUUGACAAGUUUGUGUAGGGAAAUUGGAUCUAAUCUCUUAAUCGAAGCUUAAUUAGGGCAAAUGUUGAUCCUCUUUGGACCUAUUGAAAGCUCUAAUCUGUGCACAAUUCUAAUGUUUUUGUUUCCUUAAUUUCUUUUUCAACUUUUCAACAAAGCAUCAAUUUGCUAUAAUAAAUGAGAACCAACUUGACGAUGAGAAAAAUGACUGGUGAUGAUGUCAUAGAGAAUCGCAGAUGAGAACAACCAAAAAUACUAGGAUUGGUACCACUGAUGGUAAUGAAGAAAACACAAAAAUGGUGCAAAUGGUGAACAGGAAACUCAAAAUGGAAUGGGAAAAGAAACCUAAACAAUAGUCUCCUAUAUAAAGCACACAACAUGUACAUCGAGGCAUCUGAAAGGACACGCUGCCUGAGAAGUCACUCUAAUUGAUGUGACUCCUCAUGACGUGGGUGGUGGACAUAUGUCCCAUGGUGCCAAAAAUUUCAAACACUCAAGCAACCGAAUACUUUCACUUAGUCAUUUAAAGCCUAGCUAGACUCAAUUGCAAGAAUUAAGGGCAUUGUGGGAUGCUCACCACCGUCUAUCAUGGUCCUCAAACACUGUCUGGUGUGAGACAUAUUGGCACAAGAGCCAUGUAGCUUCUCUAUCCACCCCAAGAUACUCCUAGGGUAGCAAACGAACACAAUCCGACCAAACACUAUGCAUUCCUACCCUACAAGCAUUAAUUUCAAUGAGCAAUAAGUGUAUUAACACAUUAAUGAAUGCAACCGUUAUAACGCUAAAACGCCAUACUUUAAGGUUCAUCAAGACACAACAACCAUUAUGGGCCGACAAUUAUUGGCGUUAAAUAUGGUAAUGCGCAAUCAAAGGCUCAAUUAAGGCCCUUUAGAAGACGUUACUAUUGGGCAAAGAUAAAUAACCAUUUUUUACCACAAGAAAGUCUGAUGCCAUUUUUUUCACAAAAACUUUUGCUUAAGUCUUCCAUCUCUAACCUAAGCUUUGAAGGGGUGUACUUGGAAAACCUAUCCGAACAUUCCUUUAUGUAGGUGCAAUCAUCGUUUAUGUCACGCGAAGGCUAGUCAAAGACCUUUAUUGGUCGUGCACCAAUAAAUCUAUUUAGUAUAUCUCAUUUAUCCGUUCAAGUGAGAUGAAGGAGUGACCUAAAGAUAGAUUGGAAACAUCAUAGUUUCUUAUAUUGGUAAGGCAGCAACAACCUCGGCUAGUGCAUCAACCUGCUCGUUUUCCUCUAGGGGUACGCGUUUGAUAAACCAUUCAUUCAAUUUUUCUGUUCAAGUGUACCAAAGAGAGGUAAUGAGCCAUGCAUUCAUCUCAAGCUUCAUAUUUUAGUUAGAUUUGUUCACCCACUAGUUGUGAAUUGCUUUUGAUUUCUACUUUCAUGGUUGUGAGAGCUAAGGCUAGAUCGUCUCAUAAGAAUUGCUUCAUAUUUUGCCUCAAUAUUAGAUACUGGAAAGUUGAGACAGACGACUUGUUCAAUUUGCUCUCCUGUAAGGAAUUGUUGUGUUAGUCCUAUCCUAGCUUCUGAUGUUCUAGAGGCUUCGUCUACAUGGAGAACACGCCAUUGUUCUUCAUUGUUAGACCUUGUCCAUUUUUGGGGUGGUUCGACUAUGAAAUCAAUGAGAACUUGCUAUUUGAGAUACUAAUGAGGUUUGUACCGUAUGUAAUAUUCACUCAAUUUGAUUGCCCAAUUCACCAUUCGACUAGAUAGAUUUAGCUUGUGCAACGUGACCCACAACGGUUGAUUUGUCAAGACCGUUAUUUGGUGCGCCUGAAAAUAUGGACAAAGCUUCUUGGCAGCGAUCCGUAAGUUCAGAGCCAUUUGUUCCACUUAAGAAUAUCGUGUUUUUGUGUCAAUCAUAGCUUUUCUCACAUAGUAAAUAAGUCUUUGUUCAUUACUCUAAUUGUGUGGAAACAAUAUGACAUUGACAGCAAAGUUUGACACAACCAGGUACAUGUAUAACUCUUCUCUAGCUUCAAGACUACUUAAGAUUGGUGGCUUCGUAAGAUACUGUUUGAUGUCUUUAAAGGCAUGCUCACACUCAUCCAUCUAACUAGACAUCUUUGCUCCCUAGAGUUUGCUCAAGAAAGGUCUGAGCUUAUUUAUGAAGCGUGUUAUGAACCAACCUAAGGUGAUUAGACACCCAGUUAGACGUUGCACUUCCUUCUUGCUAGUAGGAGCAGGGAUUUCUAACACUACUUUCACUUGAGCCAGAUCGACUUCAAUACCCCCUUUGAGUCACCAUGAACACAAGAAACUUCCACUCACUUACUCUAAAUGCAUAUUUUAUUGGAUUAAGCUUCAUGUCAUACCUGCACAUUAAACUGAAUGCUUCUUCCAAAUGGAGGAGCUUCUUGGAACGAGUUAUUCUCUUAAUGACAAUGUCAUCGAUAUAGACUUCCAACGUUCGACCUAUCAAGGGCUUAAAAAUAUGGGUCAUCAACUGUUGGUACGUAGCUCCAAUGUUCAUUAACCCAAGCGACAUGAUCUUGUAAAAGUACAACUCCUUAUGUGUAAUAAAUGUCAUCUUCUCUUUGUCAUGUGGAAACAUUGGUAUCUGGUGGUAUCCAAAAGAAGCAUCAAGAAAAGACAACAUUCCAUGCCUGGUUGUGGCAUCGACUAUCUAAUCUAUCUAGAGCAAUGGGAAGCUAUCUUUCAAGCAGACUUCAUUCAUAUCCACGUAGUCUGCGCACACCUGCCAUUUUUCUCCUUUCUUGGUACCACUACCACAUUUGUUAACUAGUCCAAGUAGGUCACCUCCUUGAUAAAUCUUCCUUUUAAUAGCUUCUCAACUUCUAUCUAGAUAAUUUUUUGAUGAUCCAACUAGAAACGUCAGACUUUAUAUUGUAUGGGUCGUGCUGUAGGAAGAAGGUUCAACUUAUGAGAGCUCACCGCUAGGUCUAUUCCAAGCAUUUCCGAAUGAAUCCACACGAGGAUAUCCUUGUUUUUACAAAGCAUUUCACCAACAUUACCACAUUCAUCCCUAGUUAGCAAAAAAUUAGCGUAAGUCAUCUGCUUAUUAUUUUUCGACAAAGAUAGCUAUUGUAAUAGGCUGAUUGCCAAUGAGUCUCUAUCCUCUAGUUUUCCUUCGACCUAAUUCUAUAAUUGUUAUUAGCUCUCUCUUGAUGAUUUGAGUUCAUCUUUAGUUGGGCCUGAACUCCAUCGCCACUUAGUAACACUACUAGGUGGCUAAUUGGAUUCCAUGUGGAUCCACUUACCCAAAUUCUGUCAGGUAGCUCACCAUCUUAUGAUAGGUGGAUGGAAUAACUUUCAUCUUAUGUAGGUACGACAACCUUAUGAUGGUGUUGUACGACGGUAAAUCCUCUACUAUAGAAAAUCAUACGUUGAGAGUAGGCGGGUUGGCUUGGACAAGAAGUACCACGUCGCAUAGUGAUAUUGUGGCAACCCUAUUAAACCCAAACAAAAGUCGAACUAGAUUUUCUAAGGCAGAUGACGAACAUCCCAUUUUCCUGUAGGUUGACAUAUGCAAUAAAUUGGAAUGAUCAUUUUAGGAAGGAUCACUUGAUUAAUGUUAAUUGAAGGGAAAGUGAUUGGGUCAUUGACUGGUCGGGCACUUUCGACAGUAAAUGUGCACUGAACUGCACUUACUCUUUCCCUCCCUGUAGUCGCACAGAGCAUUCGUCUCCUUUGUUGUUUGGAGUGAUAUUUGUCAUCUACUAUUUCCCCAUGGAUAUAGUUAAUCACUACUCGAUGUGUUGUGGGAGAGUCAGGAACUCACUCUGACACUUCACGUGUCAUUUCUUUAUGUCCACCAGUUGCUCAGACAUACAACUUGAGAUGUCCGGUAAUGAUUAGUUUCUCCACCAAGUAGUGCAAAUUUUUGCACUCUUCUGUGGUGUGCCCAUGCUCCUUAUGAUAGAAUCAUCGCAAUCCUCGAUCAUGCUUGGACGAAUCAGUUUUGAUGGGCUCUAGCCACUUGAACUCGAGCAGCUCUCAAAUCAAGAGGAGAAUUCUAUCAUAAAAAAUGGUCAACGGGGUGAGCCUAGGCGAUUAUCAUUGUUGUUGUCUUUCUUGUCCUUGAUUAGUCUAUCUAGACUGGCUUGAGGGCUUUAAGCUCUUAGCCUUCUUUUUUAAUUGCUCGGUUUAUAACCAGGAUUUGUUGAGAGGUUACCUAAACAUCCUCCUCAAGCAUGACAUGUUUGCCCACUCGUCUAAAUAGGUCAUUCAUUGUAGUGGGCAACUUUUUGGCCAUGGACUUGAAGAAUUGAGUGCUUGGACUGAUGAUCCAUUUGAAGAUCUGCAGGAUAGCAUCCAUGUUGUAAGAUUCCAUCUAGAACACCGCUUGUCUGAAUCACUUCAUGAAGUCCCUUAGCGAUUCAUUCUCCUACAUCUGAAUGUUCUAUAAGGUGCUUAUAUUCUGCUUUUGGCGAGCAAAACAUAAAUAAUGGCCCACAAAGGCCUCUAAAACAUCUGUCAUCUGUUGUUGGAAGUGCAUCAGGUGAACAAAAGAGUCACCAUCCCAUAGUAAAUAGUAAAUUUGGGCACCGGAAACCCCUGGGCAGCUCAUAACUAAUGAUAUGUGGGUCAAACGACAUGAAGAGCAUGUCAUCCAAUCAUCUACUUAUGGAGUCAAGAGGGGCUUUUGUCAAUGGGUUAUUUGUCGAUUGUAGUUCUAGUAUUGAACAUUAAGGCAGACGGCUUGGUGAUGCCUCAUCGUUUGAUUGGCCUAAUUGUGCUUUCAAGGCCUCCAAUAUGCAUGGCGAUGCUAGUGUUCUUCUCUCCUGAUACCCAAGAUAGGCUUUCAGGGCAUCUGAGAGACGUAAGCCCCAUUCUUAACCCAUUUUCCAUUUUUCUCCAAUAGAGCUUGCAACCUCUUUCGCUUGAGUUCGAUCGACUACUGAAUGCACUAGUUCAAGUAAUGUUAGCGAACUGCUAGUAGACAAUCCCUCAUCCACUGUUUGUAGAGACGACUUAGUGUAUCAUUGAAGAACUUUCAUUGUUUGGCUUCAAACUACUCUUGAAGUCGUCUAUUGGUUGGAGGUACGAUGACUUUUUUAUCAGCACCCCAUAGCCACUUGUGCUCGUAGCUCUUGGUUCUCUUGCUGUAGUUGUUCUGCCUGUUGGACAGGGACUACAUAGGUUAUUCAUAUUCUUCUUGCUUUUUUUCUAUCUUUCCUUGCCAAGCUUGGAAUCGCUCGUCAACAUUUGCAGAAUGAGUUGCAGGAGGCGUGUUAACCAUCGUGUUUUUUAGGCAUUUGUGGUUGAUUCCCAUAGACAAUGCCAAUGUUGGUGCACGACCAGUAAAAAAAGGUGUUUGGCUAGUCUCCAUGUAACAUAGAUGACGAUUGCACCUGCACAAAGGAAUGUCUGAAUGGGUUUUUCAGGUACACCUUUCCAAAGCUUAGGUCAGAAAUGGAAGACUUAAGCAAGAGUUUUUGUGGAAAAAUUGGUAGCAUACUUUUCUUGUGGUUAAGAAUAACUAUUUAUCUUUGUCCAACUAUAAUAUCUUCUCAGAUGCCUUAAUUGAGCCUUUGAUUGUGCAUUAUCAUCUUUAAUGUCAAUGAUAGCCAACCCAUAAUGGUUGUUGUGUCUUGAUGAACCUUAAAGGUUGGCGUUUUAACCUCAUAAUGAUUGCAUCCAUCAAUGCGUUAAUGCACUAAUUGCCUAUUGCAAUUAAUGCUUGUUGGGCAAGAAUGCAUAGUGCCCGAUUAGAUUGUGUUUGUUUGGUACCCUAAGAGUACCCUGGGGUGGACAAAAAAGCCACAUGGCUCUUGUUCUAACAUGUCUCGACUAGACAGUGUUUGAGGAUCAUGUUAGAUGGUGAUGAGCAUCCCACAGUGAAGACGUAUGAUGAAAGCAAAGGUAGGGCUUCUAAACCAAACGCUUUUAGGGAUUUUUUUUUUUUUUUCAACAAAGUUGACCUCUUCAAGGAAAAAAAAAAAGGUUAAAAAAACUAUUGCUUUUUUGGAUCCAAAUCACCAUUUCCAAUGUGAUAUUUGGAUUUCCACCAUGUAUUUUUUUUUUUUUUAACAGUCAAGGACAUUUUAUGGAUUAUUGAAAGAUAAUAUCUUUCAACUUAAUUUCCUACAUUAAUUAAGUCUUAGGCUCAAAUGUGAAACUUAAGUGGUUGUUAGGCCAUCAAACCCAUCUGCCCUAAAGUAUAAUUUCCCAUUUUCAAAAUAUAUAGUUGUUAAACAUCUAUCCCAAACUAUUGUAACCCUUUGAAGUGCUUGGUAUGUUAACCUUGUUUCCUUUUCCUUAUGCAACAUGGCUAAUUGAUUGUUGCAUUGAAUCAUUAUCAUUCACCAAAUCCAUUCAACUAUGGACUUACCUUUCAAAUCCCUCUAACAAAAAUGGUAAUUCCAAAACAACUCAAGUCUAAUGUUCUCAACUCUUUCAAAUGAUUUAAUUAAUUGGUGUUUGAAUAUACCUCUUAUAUUUUUUUAGAGCAAUUUUUAGGCACAUAACAUAAAUUUCUAAUUUUUUUUUAGAAAAGGUUUUAUAUUUUAUAUUUUAUAUUACAACUUCCCCUUUUUUUUCCAUCUAAAAAACAAAACAUAAAACCUUAAUAACCGAGUUUUGUCACAAACCCUUAACAAAUAAUCUAUUUUCCAAAAAUUACUUUAACAUCUUUAAACAUAUUGAUUUAGUAUACUUUACUUUUAAUAUUUUUUGAAAAAUAUUUUUAUUUUAUAUGAUUAUUAAUUAAUUAAGAUUGAUUGGGUAUGGUAGAAUAUAUAUUCCAAAAUACAUCGUAUUGAGAACAAUAUCACAAGAUAUUAUAUCCAUAUCUUAACAUAUUAUAUACUUUUAUUUUGUGCAAUUAGCAAUUGGACGGAAGGUAGGGAGCCGGCUUAAUGGAAAUGUCGCAUCUCACGUGUGUCCCUUCCCUUACCAAGUCUCAACAAAGGAUGAAAAUAUCGGUAAUCACGGAUAUAUCGGUACUUCGAUUUUACGGAUAUAUUAGAUAUAUCAGAGAUAUAUUGACGGAUAUUUUGGAAAAAAAUAUCGAUAAGCCUAAAAUUGAUCAAAAUUUAUAAAAAUAUAAAAAAAACUUCAUAAAAAUGUAAUUAAAAGAAGGUCGUAUAAGUUACUCAUGUUGAUCAUGUGAUAUAUCACGAGAUAUAAUCGAUUUUUGGGAAUUUCUCACGAAAAUAUCGCGACAUUUCUUCCUUGUCUCGACUGCUCCAAGAUUUCCUAUACGCCCUUCUUCGCUUAGCUCUUAAGUCUUUUCUUCUCCUCUUCCUCAAACCCAUCACAUUUCGCCGCGUGGAGCUAAGUCUCAAGGUCCUUUUGUUCGUACGAUGUAUGUUCCCCCAAUUCCUCAUCUACCUUGAAACUCCAUACUCGCCAUCUACUCAACCACUUCUCUACUCUAGAGUCUGGAUGCUUUAUCUCCGCGAGUGUCGAUGGCUCUUCACCCCAGCGAGUAUGGAAUUACAAGGGCAAUAUCGUCAUUAAAGACACAACAGGCAAACCAAUGGCAUUGUCUUCCUUUUGGUCUAUUUUAUUUAUGCUGUAAGUAUUCGUGCUUGACUUCUCCCGCGUCUCUUAUAAAAACUAAAGAAAACCACUCCAACAGAGCACACUUCAAGAAUCUUCUUUUUUUUUUUCUUUCCUCUUUCUCUUUACAUAUAUACUGAGAAAGCCCAGCUCAUCCCUCAAUUCCCAGAUGGGUUUUAUGAAUGUUCUCAAGUUCUCAGCUGCAUGCUUUGAUAUUCUUGCCUGGUAUGUUGUCCACGCAUUUUCUCGCCAUUGGAAAUUUUUGGAAAAUGAAGUGGAAUUCUCUGUUUGAGGACAAACAUGGGAUUUUCUUUGAUUUCUCCCUGUUGGUUUUAUCUAUAUUCUUUGGAUUACCCACAUUCUUGUCAUUGAUUGUUAGUCAUUUGUUUGGAUUUCUACUUGCAGGCCUCUAUUUGCACUGGGUUAUCCUCUGUAAGUCUUGGUCUUACACCUCAAGAUAUGAUGAUUCAUUUACUCUUUUCUUGUUCUACGAAUAGUUCAGUUACAUUUAUUGUGUUGGGAAACUGAAAAGGGAAAGGAUUAUUCUUUAUUAUCGUAAUAAUCAUCAACAUCAUCUCGGUUCUUCACAGAUGUUCUUCAAUUCGGGCAAUUGAGACUAACUCAAUCUCAGACUUUCGGAAGUUGGUGGCGUAUUGGGUUCUAUUUUCCUUGAUUUCACUCUUUGAUCAUGCUUUUUCCAAGCUCCUUGAAUGGUAAUUUUGCUCAACUGCGUUCCACUAUAUGUGACUCUGUUUGUUUCAUUUCUUUGCCCUUAAGGAAUUUGGAGUUGCUUUUUUCAGUUUUCUUUCCUAUGAAAAUAAUCGAGAUGUUUAAUGUUCCAGGCCUCCAUGUAUUUUAUAUUCCUUCAUUUCUCUGCUUUGACAAAUGCUCACAAUCUGAUCAGCAGAAAGGUUAUAACAUUUGAAAAAGAAGUGGUUUAUUUUUGUUUUUUUUAAGUACAAUAAUUUUCGUUUGGAUAAAUGGUCUGAAGGGUGUUUGUGUUUGGCUGAGUUCAUGGAAUUUUCAAGCUAAUUUGGGAUUUAUUCUCAAUUUCAAGAUCAUUGUGGAUAUGUCAGAAAUUAAUGAAAUAUAAAUGGUGGAAUGUGAUUUUCUUGUUUAAGAAAAGUUUUUCUUUGAAAAUGCGGGUGCACCAGACCUACCUUAUUGNNNNNNNNNNNNNNNNNNNNNNNNNNNNNNNNNNNNNNNNNNNNNNNNNNNAUCAGAUUCAACUGUGAUAGCCCGGAAUUUAAUUCAGUAUUCGACUCUUCUGGGAACAUGUUGGUUAUGGUUUCUCUCUCACUGUCCUCUUCUUUACACAUGACUUUUCAGUUGAGGAGCACAAAGCCUAAUGUUGAAGUGAAAGAGAUCAAAGCACCUGCAGCACCGGAGAAAAAAGGGGAACAGGUAAGUACUCUAAUGUGGCUAUUUAAUUUCUAUGGAGGCAGAUCCCCAGAGAAAUGCUGUUCAUGUAAAUUACUGAUGCAUUUGAUUCAAUGGCCACGGUUUUAAAAGAAAAACCACUUUAUGUAUGUUUCUGUGAAUGAGAGAACAAGUUUAUGGAUUAAAUGAUAUUUUUUAUGGUGAAAUAAUCAAUAAUUUUCAAAAUAAUAAUACAUUCCUGCAUGUUUUUGCAAUUCAUGAAUUCCUUUUAUGAUUGAUUCUUCUCACCUUUUUUCUCACCUCAGUGGAAGUGUGAAGAGCCUAAUGUUGCUCAAAAAGAGAUCCAAGUAGUCAAAGUAACAGAGAUAAAAAAUGGGGGGGAUGGAGCAAAGAGGGUAAGUUUUGCUUUUUAUUUAUAAAGUAGGCUGUCUUCACACAAGGAUUAUUAUUAUUAUUAUUGUUAUUAUUUUAAGACAUGAAUGUUGAAUGAUUUUGGAAUUGUCCUUGAAUCAUGUGAAGUGUGAAUGGUCUAAUGCUGCUAAGGAGGAGGUCAAAGUGACAGAAGUAACACAGAGAACAUUUGGUGGUACAGCACAGUGGGUAAGGUUUCAUGUCAUAUUUAAAUGGCUCCUCAUAUUUCACUAGGAUUAAUUUUGCCCCUACAAACUAUUUGGCUACAAGUUAAGACAGAGUUCCAGAUGCUGAUAAAGCUGAGACAUAAGUAAUGAACGAAUUUAGACACAUGCACAACUCUUGUGUGAAACACAAUGAGAGUGGAAAAUAGCUAAGUUGAAAAAUGGCCAAAUACUAUUUUGUAGUUCCCCCUACCACUUAAGUAAUUUUUGUCAUCCUUUGUGAAUGGAAAAUGCAGUCCCUUCAGUAAUUCCAUUAUAUUCAUGACUUGGUGAAGCAUAUAACCAUUAGUGUCUUACCCUAAGUCGACCUUUAAUGAUGAUCCAUUGAGAUGGGUCUGACUUUUGUCAACCCUCUUAUUCCCUUGAUCAUAGAGGUGAAACUUAGGGGGCUUAACCCACUUUUCAAUCUUAUUGGAUAUAUGGCACGUGGUAUCCUCUUCAUCUUGAAAGAGUGAAGUGGUCAUACUCUUUCCUCUGAGUCCAUUGUGGCCAUGCACUUCAGGCUCAUUGGGCUGAGUGAAAGGAUUCCCUUCUGCUUCAAAUCAUAGAGAGAUAUGCCAUGGUCAGCCUCUUUAAUUCAAGGGAUUGAAGUACUCAAAUCCAUUUCUCUGUAUCCAUCUUAGUUCUGCAUUCAUGUCUCAUGGUUAACCAAGAAGAUCCAGCCUCCAUCCAUGAGAUCAGCAUCUGCAGGUUUAUGACACCACCCUUCCUUUGCAUAGGAAAGGGAUCAUUAAGCCAUGUGUCGGAUGACAGAAGUCAUCAUUCAGGUUAUCUUGAGAACUAAGGAAGUUGGAAUUCUAAUUAUUGCAUAUGGUUCUUGAUGUUUAGCCAAUAUACUAUAGGAUUUUAAGCAUCAUGCUCACGUGCAUUGUGGUUGCUUAUCAGCUAUAUGGUUUGCCAAAAUGAGGGACUGAUUAUGGUCAUAAGUACCUUUUUCCCAUUAAUUUCUUGCAUGUGCUCUGCUGAGAUUAUGUUUUUGACAGUCCAAAUCAGGGCAAACCAACAAACAGCUUUAUGUUAACUUUUACAAACUGCCAUAUUUUCAGGUUAAACAAACAGAGAUAAAUCUUGGUGAAACUAGAAGUAAUACAACCUGUGCUGUGGAGAUAAAAGAAAGGGCAGCAGCACUGGUGGCUGCAGAAAUUGAGGCAUGUAGAGACGAUAGAACCCCCAAGAUACCUCUUCAUGAGAAAGUCCAGAAAGAGUGGGCUUGUGCUGUGUGCCAGUUCACAACCCAAACUGAAGCGACCUUCAAUUCCCACCUUCAAGGGAAGAGACAUCAGGCCAUUUCUGAGCAGCUGAGAGCCAAAAAUCAGGCAACCAAAACCAAUUGUUCCCCAUCUGCUUCAAUGGCCAAGAAAUCUGAUCAGUCCACCAAAGAGGAGCAACCGAAGUGUACUUCCAAUCUGAAUUCCAAAAACAAUGGAAUCUCAGCUGCUUCAACAGUGAAGAAACUUGAUGAGACCAAAGAUGAUGAGCAACAAAAGUCUGCAUCUAGCAAUGGACCGAACCAGAAGAAUAACAAAAAGCAAGAGGUACAGACCAAUGAGCAAGGCCGUCAGAAGAACUUAAGGCAAACUGGUGAUGGAAUGAAAGAGUUGAGAUCAUGGUGCAAUAUCUGUAAUGUAAGCUGCACAAGGGAGCUUGACCUGGCCUCGCAUCUCAAUGGAAGGAGGCACUUUGAUAGGAUAAAGCAGCUGUCUGAAUUAUGGUGCAGUAACUGCAAUGUAAGGUGCAACAGUGAGGUUGAUAUGGC
RNAcentral lists this long non-coding RNA (37233 nucleotides) under Vitis vinifera (wine grape). RNAcentral describes it as "long non-coding RNA (VVIN_LNC000787)". The record is from RNAcentral. Lineage: Eukaryota; Viridiplantae; Streptophyta; Magnoliopsida; Vitales; Vitaceae.